RNAcentral lists this unclassified non-coding RNA (337 nucleotides) under soil metagenome. RNAcentral describes it as "partial contains 5.8S ribosomal RNA, internal transcribed spacer 2, and large subunit ribosomal RNA". The stretch from base 1 to 120 matches the Rfam family "5.8S ribosomal RNA", at positions 35 to 154 of the family's 154-position model. The record is from RNAcentral.
GAUGAAGAACGUAGCAAAAUGCGAUAAGUAGUGUGAAUUGCAGAAUUCAGUGAAUCAUCGAAUCUUUGAACGCACAUUGCGCCCCUUGGUAUUCCAUGGGGCAUGCCUGUUCGAGCGUCAUUUGUACCUUCAAGCUCUGCUUGGUGUUGGGUGUUUGUCUCGCCUCUGCGUGUAGACUCGCCUUAAAACAAUUGGCAGCCGGCGUAUUGAUUUCGGAGCGCAGUACAUCUCGCGCUUUGCACUCAUAACGACGACGUCCAAAAGUACAUUUUUACACUCUUGACCUCGGAUCAGGUAGGGAUACCCGCUGAACUUAAGCAUAUCAAUAAGCGGAGGA